This 315-nucleotide long non-coding RNA is filed under the name Rattus norvegicus (Norway rat). RNAcentral's name for it is "long non-coding RNA NONRATT000057". Lineage: Eukaryota; Metazoa; Chordata; Mammalia; Rodentia; Muridae. The record is from RNAcentral.
GGACUAGCAGUUGGAACAAUUCCUGGUGUAACUUCUGAAUUCAGAAGGCCGAGGAUUUGCUGAUUUUUCAAAAUAAAGAUUAUGGGUCAGCUCGGAGUAUUGUCCGUGUUAUUGGAAGAAUGCUUCCUUUAGAGCCUUGCCGAAGACCUCGUUUUGAGACACAGUCUAUGGAAAAAGGCGGAAGGGAAAGCUGCUCUCUUCCAUCCUUCAAAACUACCUUGGGACCUGUCGUCCCCUGCUCUAAGUCAGAACAGAACAGUGGCCGAUGACCUUCCUGUAAGCGAAGCUGCCAUUAAAAAGAUAGCCGCCCUUGAA